AGAAGCUUGCUUCUAUGACGUUAGCGGCGGACGGGUGAGUAACACGUGGGCAACCUGCCUGUAAGACUGGGAUAACUUCGGGAAACCGAAGCUAAUACCGGAUAGGAUCUUCUCCUUCAUGGGAGAUGAUUGAAAGAUGGUUUCGGCUAUCACUUACAGAUGGGCCCGCGGUGCAUUAGCUAGUUGGUGAGGUAACGGCUCACCAAGGCAACGAUGCGUAGCCGACCUGAGAGGGUGAUCGGCCACACUGGGACUGAGACACGGCCCAGACUCCUACGGGAGGCAGCAGUAGGGAAUCUUCCGCAAUGGACGAAAGUCUGACGGAGCAACGCCGCGUGAGUGAUGAAGGUUUUCGGGUCGUAAAACUCUGUUGUUAGGGAAGAACAAGUACGAGAGUAACUAGGCUCGUACCUUGACGGUACCUAACCAGAAAGCCACGGCUAACUACGUGCCAGCAGCCGCGGUAAUACGUAGGUGGCAAGCGUUGUCCGGGAAUUAUUGGGCGUAAAGGGCGCGCAGGCGGUUUCUUAAGUCUGAUGUGAAAGCCCACGGCUCAACCGUGGAGGGUCAUUGGAAACUGGGGAACUUGAGUGCAGAAGAGGAAAGUGGAAUUCCACGUGUAGCGGUGAAAUGCGUAGAGAUGUGGAGGAACACCAGUGGCGAAGGCGGCUUUCUGGUCUGUAACUGACGCUGAGGCGCGAAAGCGUGGGGAGCAAACAGGAUUAGAUACCCCUGGUAGUCCACGCCGUAAACGAUGAGUGCUAAGUGUUAGAGGGUUUCCGCCCUUUAGUGCUGCAGCUAACGCAUUAAGCACUCCGCCUGGGGAGUACGGUCGCAAGACUGAAACUCAAAGGAAUUGACGGGGGCCCGCACAAGCGGUGGAGCAUGUGGUUUAAUUUCGAAGCAACGCGAAGAACCUUACCAGGUCUUGACAUCCUCUGACAACUCUAGAGAUAGAGCGUUCCCCUUCGGGGGACAGAGUGACAGGUGGUGCAUGGUUGUCGUCAGCUCGUGUCGUGAGAUGUUGGGUUAAGUCCCGCAACGAGCGCAACCCUUGAUCUUAGUUGCCAGCAUUCAGUUGGGCACUCUAAGGUGACUGCCGGUGACAAACCGGAGGAAGGUGGGGAUGACGUCAAAUCAUCAUGCCCCUUAUGACCUGGGCUACACACGUGCUACAAUGGACGGAACAAAGGGCUGCAAGACCGCGAGGUUAAGCCAAUCCCAUAAAACCAUUCUCAGUUCGGAUUGUAGGCUGCAACUCGCCUACAUGAAGCUGGAAUCGCUAGUAAUCGCGGAUCAGCAUGCCGCGGUGAAUACGUUCCCGGGCCUUGUACACACCGCCCGUCACACCACGAGAGUUUGUAACACCCGAAGUCGG
Molecule: ribosomal RNA, 1378 nt
Filed under: Bacillus sp. 562
Lineage: Bacteria; Bacillati; Bacillota; Bacilli; Caryophanales; Bacillaceae
Description: 16S ribosomal RNA
Rfam family: Bacterial small subunit ribosomal RNA
Source: RNAcentral